RNAcentral lists this transfer RNA (69 nucleotides) under Oryzias marmoratus (marmorated medaka). RNAcentral's name for it is "tRNA-Asp". It matches the Rfam family "tRNA". From Rfam's summary of the family: Transfer RNA (tRNA) molecules are approximately 80 nucleotides in length. Their secondary structure includes four short double-helical elements and three loops (D, anti-codon, and T loops). Lineage: Eukaryota; Metazoa; Chordata; Actinopteri; Beloniformes; Adrianichthyidae. The record is from RNAcentral.
AAGAUUCUAGUUAAAUAAUAACCCUGCUUUGUCAAGGCAAAAUUGUGGGUUAAACCCCCACGUAUCUUA